AAUCAACGCUGGCGGCGCGCUUAACACAUGCAAGUCGAACGAGAAAGGGAGCAAUCCUGAGUAAAGUGGCGCACUGGUGAGUAACACGUGGAUAUCUACCUCUUGGUGGGGAAUAACCUGGGGAAACCUGGGCUAAUACCGCAUAAGUUCGUGAGAAGAAAGGCGCAAGCCGCCGAGAGAGGAGUCCGCGGUCGAUUAGAUAGUUGGCAGGGUAAAGGCCUACCAAGUCUAAGAUCGAUAGCCGGCCUGAGAGGGCACACGGCCACACUGGCACUGAAACACGGGCCAGACUCCUACGGGAGGCAGCAGUGGGGAAUCUUGCACAAUGGGGAAAACCCUGAUGCAGCGACGCCGCGUGAGCGAUGAAGCCCUUCGGGGUGUAAAGCUCUUUCGGCAGGAACGAUAAUGACGGUACCUGCAGAAGAAGCUGCGGCUAACUACGUGCCAGCAGCCGCGGUAAUACGUAGGCAGCAAGCGUUGUUCGGAAUUACUGGGCGUAAAGAGUGUGUAGGUGGUGUCGUAAGUUUGGUGUGAAAUCUCCCGGCUUAACUGGGAGGGUGCGCCGAAGACUGCGAUGCUUGAGUAUGGGAGAGG
Molecule: ribosomal RNA, 594 nt
Filed under: uncultured bacterium gp3
Lineage: Bacteria
Description: bacterial SSU rRNA
Rfam family: Bacterial small subunit ribosomal RNA
Source: RNAcentral